UGUUCCAGCUCUUUAUGCAGCUGAACCCUCCAAACGUCUCAGUUGGCUCACGUUGCCACAAGGGAUGAAAAGCAGUCCCACAAUCUGUCAGUCUGUGGUGUCCAAUAUAAUUGAACCAGUUCGAUCUCAGUUUCCUGAAGCUAUCAUUUUUCAUUACAUGGACAACCUAUUGAUCAGUGCCCCUAAUACUGACAAAUUGACAUUGGUACAUAAGUCUGUGAAAAAAACCCUGAGUAAUCAUGGGUAAGAAAUAGCCCCAGAAAAAGAACAAAGAAUUUCCCCGUGGAAGUACCUUGGUCUGAUAAUAGAAGAGAGAACAUUUAGGCCUCAAGCAGUAACCUUGCCCACCAAAAUAAAACCACUAAACGAUCUGCAGUCUCUUUUGGGAAAUCUCAAUUGGAUAUGAUCCUUUUUUGGUUUCUCAACAGAUUUUUUAGCUCCUUUGUUUCAGCUCCUUAAGGGAGAAGCAGAACUAACUUCUCCUCGUCACUUGACACCAGAAGCAGAAAAUAUUAUUGAAGUGAUCAACCAAAAAAUUUCAGAACAACAGGUAAACAGGAGAGUAGAAGGAUUACCUACUGCAUUACUAAUCUUUCGUGGACCAAAACAGCCUUUUGCUGUAAUAGGACAAUUAGACUCAAAACCCAAAAAAUUUCUUUUGUGGGAAUGGGCAUUUCUCAGUCACCAGUUUUCAAAGACAAUUGUUACUGUGCCUGAAAUGCUUGCAAAAGUCUGUCACAAAGGCAAACUCCGAAUGUUAGAACUGUCAGGGAAGGACCCAGAUUUUCUUUAUGUUCCGCUGUCCAAAUCUCAACUGCGUUAUCAUGAUUUACAUCUGUUUGAUUUUCAACUGGUUAUGUCAGAUUUUACAGGCAAACUGAUAACCCAUCUACCAGCAAUUCCUUUUCUGCAGUUUCUUUCCAUCUCGCAACCCAGACUGAGAAAUAACUUUUCUACUAGCCCUUUGAAGAAAGCUGUGACAGCCUUCACAGACGGCUCAGGGAGGUCCAGUAAUGCAGUGGUAGCCUGGUUUGAAAAAGGAGAAUGGAAAAGAGAUGUUCAUCAAGUUGAAGGCUCAUCUCAGAUUGCUGAACUCUCAGCCGUGGAGCAGGUCCAAGAUGGAUACCGUCCAGACUAGUGAGGAUCCACCAAGAAGUUUCCCUCCCAGCUCAACCAGCAGCAGAUCCAGCACCACCGGAUUCAGCACCAACUACAGGAAGCGAUCCCACAUCAGCAUCACUUUCGGGAUAAUCCUGGUUUUGUGUGCAGCAUAACACCAGCAAAUCAGAAAGACCUAACGUCAGGAGCCCUUGCCACACCUCCUCCAACAAUUCCAAAUUGGGUAAUGCUCCCUGGUCAAAAUGUUUGGCUAAACCUGGCACAAUCACUAAAUACUGACUCUAUCUGUCUCUCUA
Molecule: long non-coding RNA, 1415 nt
Organism: Pseudopipra pipra
Lineage: Eukaryota; Metazoa; Chordata; Aves; Passeriformes; Pipridae
Exons: 2
Source: RefSeq, a predicted model, not a curated record